Long non-coding RNA from Manis pentadactyla (Chinese pangolin), 2612 nucleotides. RefSeq lists it as uncharacterized. The transcript has 5 exons. The record is from RefSeq and is a predicted model, not a curated record. Lineage: Eukaryota; Metazoa; Chordata; Mammalia; Pholidota; Manidae.
CGCCCGGCCUCUGGAGGGGCGCCCGGUCCCAGGGGGGCGCGCGCGGGGUCCGGCAGGUAUGUGUCCAGAGCAUCGUGCGUAACACGCACGGAGAAAGAACUGGGUGGUCUCCGUUGUCGCCUGUUAAAGCCCAAGCACGUAGUCGCGGGGACGCAGUAACCGUACGGAAGGCUCUUCUCCAAAACGCUCUGCGGACAGACAGCACAAACAGAAGUGAGUGGAGAAGCCCCGAAGCCCUUCUCAUUCCGGAAAAAGAUUCUGGGUUUCGGUUUUUGUUGGGAUCCCGCGCUAAAGAGCAAAUUAUUCCCUUAAAUGGAAAUUCCACUUGUUAAAAUGGAAAGGAAGACUCUUUAGUAUUGAUGAGAUAGGUGUCAAGACUAUGGCUACAGGAGAGAGAUGUCUGCUCGCCCCUGAGAACAGCAAAGACAGCUGGGGAGUAUGGCCCACAGACUGGGGAGGCCAGUGGAUGAAAUUUCCUAGAGGACCGUGGGCCGGGGGUUCUUGCAGGCGGUGGGCCUGGUGAUCAGAUAGCAAGGGUGGGAGAUUCUCUCCAAACUGAUUUCUCAGGAUUCUUGCUACAACUGGGCUGGGUAGACAGAAGCCUGGAGGGGCAGGGAUGUGUUCAAGACAGCCGCCCAGUGGACAAGAGAGCUCAGGGGAGCCUGACUAAAAUUGGGGCGAGCAGAGAGUUUUACCGAACUUUUCAGACUGUCCCUGAGAUUUGAGGGAAAUAGUUCUUUCUCCAAGUCUUGGUGGCCAUUUCUAUUUAAUGCGUAUGUGAAUUCUACUUCUCUCUGCCGUGGAAGGGGCUACAGUAAAGCUGUGGAGCUCUUAAUACAUAAAAUGUAGUAUGACUCACAUCUUUGAAGUGUAAAUACCAUGGACCACCCACCCGAGACCAAAGAGGUCCAGUCGAUGGAUGGAGAGCAUUAGUCAAACAUUGGAAGGAGGAAAUCAGACUUUUUUGUUUGUUUUGACGAGCAGUUCUUUUUGUGUGGAACGUUAGCAUGUGAGCAGCGGGAGUUAACUCUGAGCCCAGACUGACUGACGUUCCCAUCUCAGUUUUUCUGGCAAUGACUGGUUGGAAUGGAGUGGUGAGGAGGGUGUCGGCAGGAGAAGGGUACCGGGCAGUGUCGGCGCCUCCCCUUACAACAAAGCAUUCAUGCACGUCACGAGAUGACCAAAGAGAACGAUUAUGGCAUGGUUUUGGUCCCUGAGACCUGAUGUCCCCAUGUGGCUUCGACUAGAUUUUCCCCGGGAAGAGGCCUGCCAGCAGUGACCCACCUGAAUUCUUGACUGUGAACUCUAAGCCCACCAUCAGUUACUGUCCUGGGACCUGCUUUUGCACGAGGCCGUAACUGCUGCCAAGGCGUACUUGCAGGAGCCAAGUGCGAGGAUGGAAACCAGUAGGUUCCUCUCUCAGCCUCUGCAAAGCCAAGUCCAUGUCUUGAGAUGCUUCUCUAGACGACUGAAGCCGGUCUCGGAAUGCACAGCCAGUGUGCAGGGGCCUCUGAAGUUCCCGUGAAGAAAAGGGGUUCUGGACUGGCAUCCUUCCUGAACAUAUUCUGGAGUGGGUAAGGCAGACCCCUGAUAAACACCGGGGGGCCUCUCCUGACCAUAAAGCCUGCCAUGGAAGUAGUGUAUUUCCAGGUAGAUGUACAGCUGGAUGGCCGGUGCUCUGCAUUCACUGAGGAAAUCCCAGCAGUGCCCAAAGCAGACCUGUCAGGAUUCCGAGGGGUUGGCAACGGGGACUGCCCUCACCCACGACACGCAACAGAACAGAUGGAUCAGCCUCCGUGGCACAAAGGCAUGAAGUUAUUCUGCAUUUGUGUCCUGAUCAGUAUGGCUAAGUGGGCCGGGUCAGCUGCCUGUUGGCCGCACUGUGUUGCCUACUGCUCGCUGCUGGUUGCCGUCCUCAUUGCAGCCGAGGACACACCAUGACAGCCCCAGUAGUAGCGGCUGUGCCCUCGUCCCGAAGUGGAACGGCCCCUUCUUUAGAUUGUUGAUGGCUGCAGUGAAGAUUCGUUCAUAUGUGGAAAACUCCUAGAGGAGCUGUAAUCGCCAGACGAUCCUGGUCACCUGGGGUAACAGAUAACCCAACCCAAGUCAAGUCUGUGCCACACAUCCUAACGGCUGUGAUUCCUUGGGCAACUGUGAAAUCAGAGUAUUGGCACAUAAAGGGGGAAACAUGACAUUGGGAUCCCACACUUUUAUGAUUCCCCAAUAUCAAAAGGGAGGGCGGAGCCCAAAGGCCAUAGAAAUCCCCCUUAUGACAGAAAGAAAACAGGUUCCUAGGGAUAUGUUGGUGGAAUGGAACCAAAAUAUCUUUAUUAUUACUGCCAGAUCAUUGGGUAUACCUAUGGCACAAGUAUCUAUGACAGAAUAUGGCCUCGUUGCCCCUCGACCAAUUACAUGUACUGUGGGAAACUGGACCGUAAGAGUUUGCACCAAGCCCCAUCUCACUCUAACCCAUUAGAAUCAAGAGAAAACUAAGGAGCAAUAUGCUGGGAUGUAUAGAAAUAAAACAGAUAAUGUGACAACAGAAGGAAAAAGAUAUUCAAGGUCAAUAGAAGAUACAGGAGCUAUUAAAAUAACUGGAGGACUAUUUCACA